CCGAUGGCGACCGGCGCACGGGUGAGUAACACGUAUCCAACCUGCCGAUAACUCGGGGAUAGCCUUUCGAAAGAAAGAUUAAUAUCCGAUAGGAUAUCAAGAUCGCAUGAUCUUGAUAUUAAAGAAUUUCGGUUAUCGAUGGGGAUGCGUUCCAUUAGUUAGUUGGCGGGGUAACGGCCCACCAAGACGACGAUGGAUAGGGGUUCUGAGAGGAAGGUCCCCCACAUUGGAACUGAGACACGGUCCAAACUCCUACGGAAGGCAGCAG
Molecule: ribosomal RNA, 268 nt
Filed under: uncultured bacterium
Lineage: Bacteria
Description: partial 16S ribosomal RNA
Rfam family: Bacterial small subunit ribosomal RNA
Source: RNAcentral